This 366-nucleotide ribosomal RNA is filed under the name uncultured eukaryote. RNAcentral's name for it is "partial 18S ribosomal RNA". It matches the Rfam family "Eukaryotic small subunit ribosomal RNA", at positions 592 to 976 of the family's 1831-position model. The record is from RNAcentral.
CAAUAGCGUAUAUUAAAGUUGUUGCAGUUAAAAAGCUCGUAGUUGAAUUUCUGGCGGGCGCGCCGGUCUUCCAAGUGUUGUACUGGGCGCAGUCCGCCAUCCUUGUGGAGAGGGCUCGCAUUGAGUUGCGUGUCGGAUCUGCAUCAUUUACUGUGAAAAAAUUAGAGUGUUUAAAGCAGGCUGUCGCUUGAAUACAUUAGCAUGGAAUAAUAAGAUAGGACUUCGGUCUAUUUUGUUGGUUGCGAACCGAGGUAAUGAUUAAUAGGGAUAGUUGGGGGUAUUCAUAUUUAAUUGUCAGAGGUGAAAUUCUUGGAUUUAUGAAAGAUGAACAACUGCGAAAGCGUCUGCCAAGGAUGUUUUCAUUAA